AUGGGAGGAGAGUGGCUUGGCGCUCUCUCGGAGGAGGAGGAGCUUCGACGGCGGCCAGAAGUGAGGAUCAUUAACAAGUAUGCAGUCGUCUUUGCGUACAUUUGUAUUGGCCUGAAAGGCCAGAGUGCUCUGGUGCUUUUGUGGGCAACCGUCGUCCUUCUUGGCGGCUUCGUCUCGGAUCUGAGGAGCAUAGAUUUCCACUAUCUGACCAUCAUCGCGUUCGUGCAGGCUGCCGGGCUAUUCGACGCAAUGGGAGAAGAUCGGUUUUUGUUCUUUGGGGUUUGGUUUCACUCUCUUCUACGUAACAUUGUAUCCUGGGGAGACAAGCAUCAUGAUGAACGUACCCAGUUGCCUAUCAGACAAUGGCUGAAGAGACAAAUACAUAUACUCAAAUUAAAAAUAAUAGAUAUCACUCUGAUCGUGAUAUUUUCCCCAGCUAUGUACUUCGGCGUGGGUGGACCAAUUAUUUGUUCUGGCCUGUCUGGGCUUCGUCUAGCAAAGCAAGACUACGGCAUCGCCGACGGAGAUGCAAGUAAAGCAAAUCUGAAGCCGGCGCUGAACUUAUUCUACGGCGUAUCCUUUGCUCAGGGCGCAAUAUUCUUAUUGUGUACAAUGGGUGGAGUCAUUGCUGAGCGAUGGUUAAAUGAUAUUUUAAGCCAACGCCAUGGUUUCAGCCUCAAUGUACUUCUUGGAUACUCGCGUAAAACCAUGCACAUGGGUCUAAAUGACCCCGCUUCCAUAAGGAGCUGGAAUUUGAUCACAUAUGGUGCUGACUUGCUGGAUUCCCAAUGUUCGAAUGACUAUGCAGCUGGAGUACGGAUACUAACCAUGCUGAUUGAUCGUGAUAUACCGUUACAGAUAAGACGGCUGUUGAUCAGAUCACCGAAACAAAGAAUUCAGAAGCUGAUCGGAACCCUUGCUUGGAUAAGCCCAGCCGAGCAAGAGACGAGAUGGCUUGCAGCGACGAUUGUGGAGCAUCUCGCUGCUGACCUCAACCUUGCUCAUUUUCCAGGAGCAUUGGAAUGUGUAUCCUCCCUCUUUGAUGCUACCCAUUUACCAUUUGAAGCUGGGCAAGGAACUAAGGAUCUGGUUUUGCCAGGCUUGAGAAUUCUGCAUAACCUAGCUCAUGAUGGACAUAACUGCACAAUGAUAUACAGCACCAAGGGUCUUCUUUCAAAAAUAGUUGCGCCUCUCAGCUCCAAUGAAUUUGUAGAAGAUAUCAAGAGUAGUGUUGCAUGGACCAAGGUAGUAGACGUAUCACUCAAAGUGGUGACCCGGCUCAUGGGUUCGCCAGGAAGCACAGGCCAAGAGAUGCGAAGUCUAAUUGCAAAUGCUAGUCAUGUGGUCAGAAACCUGGAGGCCGUUCUGGACAUCGACAUGAAGAGUAACAGCAGCAUCAUAUGGCUACUGACGGGAGCUUUAGACGCUCUUACACGAUUAGUAUUGCAUCAUCCAGAAAGUGCGUCUGCAGGAAAACUUAUUGAGAGGGCACUGCACAUAUUUCUUUCAACAGAUUGGUUGGAAGAUUAUUUGAAACAUGAGAAGAACGUGAUGAAAAAAGCUAAGAAAACUGUAAGCCAGCUUAAAGAAUAUGCUGGUUUCGUAUUGGAAAUGUUGUCCAAUCAUCCAGAGGCUAUCAAGAGCUUCACAGUAUGCGAUGAUGACAUCCAUCGUCUUACUGAAUUGCUCGACUGCAAUAUUAAGACCACUGAAUGCAAAAUAAGUGCAACAGAGACAGUGGAAAUAGAUAUCAGCAUUGGCUCUCGUAUUAGCUCAGCAGUCAUCUUGAAGCAUUUGAGCAACUACGUCAAAUUGCCAACCUUACGGAAGGCACUCAGGCAAUUGCUUCCUGUACAACAAGAUGAGGCUUCCACUUUAAAGUGCCACAUCAAGGACAGGAUGAUGCAUGCAGCACUGUUAUCACUCGUCGUGACCAUAUGUGCGAACACCAGUAUUAAUCUUGCAGGAAUCUUGCUUUCGCAGACACCAUCGGAUACACUGGAAGAUUUUGUGGUGAGGCUCAAGAAGAUGGUGGAGGAAAACAUGUACGCCACCCCAACAUGCCUGGCGAUACAGAAGCUUACCUGCCAGAUGGUUACAGAAUUCAUGAAGCAUGAUCGAAACAUCCAAGUGAUUGAUAAGCACAAUAUCGUUGGCACGUUACUGAAGGCUUCAAAGACGAUGGCCGAGCUCGAGAGCAGCAUGCUUUUCGCUGCUGUCAUUCGUGACCGCUACGGGGUUCCUUUGAAGCCUCUUUCAUCUGUUCUCUCCAAAAACACAGAAGAUCUUUUGACACAGAGGAAACAGGCUCUUGGCAUCUACACUGUGCCUGCCUCUGUACCAAUACCACUACCAUGA
This 2358-nucleotide ribosomal RNA is filed under the name Triticum aestivum (bread wheat). RNAcentral describes it as "partial small subunit ribosomal RNA". Lineage: Eukaryota; Viridiplantae; Streptophyta; Magnoliopsida; Poales; Poaceae. The record is from RNAcentral.